RNAcentral lists this long non-coding RNA (280 nucleotides) under Vitis vinifera (wine grape). RNAcentral describes it as "long non-coding RNA (VVIN_LNC008043)". Lineage: Eukaryota; Viridiplantae; Streptophyta; Magnoliopsida; Vitales; Vitaceae. The record is from RNAcentral.
CCAUUAUCUUGUUGCAUAAUAUGCAAAAACAGUGUGGACCAGAAAUUUUGCAUACAAGGAAAAGUGUAUUACCAUUACAUCCAAACAAUAACUGAUGAGACCACUGGGAUUAUAACAACGUUGUCUGUCUUUCAAUAUCAAAUGUUUUGGGCUUCCUCUGCAGGCACUUCCUAGUCAAGUCAAGCCCAGCCCAGCCCACUCUGAGGUUCAGGAAGGUGAGGCCAAGCGUUCCAAGGCCUGGCGGGCAGCAUCUGAAGUGGGCUCGAUCCUCAGGGCCUGG